GGCAAGGUUUACGUGCACAUGCACUUGUUUUGGGGAUUGUCAGCCCACCAUCUGUUGAAGUGGUGGACACUGGGAUUGGGUUUAACUUUCUCCCAUGAGUCAAGAAUUUUUGCAAUGCAAAAGUCUUUUCUUUCUUCGAUUUAAUCUGCCAUAUAGAGCUUAUACUAAACAUAAAAGUUGAAUGGCUUCAGUCAGCUUGGUAGAGCAAAGGAAAUGCACACUCUAUAAAAUUGAAACAAAAACAAAAAAAGGUCAACUUUCCUUUGAAAGAUUUAUUGAAACAAAAAC
RNAcentral lists this long non-coding RNA (288 nucleotides) under Mytilus galloprovincialis (Mediterranean mussel). Lineage: Eukaryota; Metazoa; Mollusca; Bivalvia; Mytilida; Mytilidae. The record is from RNAcentral.